This 251-nucleotide ribosomal RNA is filed under the name uncultured bacterium. RNAcentral's name for it is "partial 16S ribosomal RNA". It matches the Rfam family "Bacterial small subunit ribosomal RNA", at positions 87 to 339 of the family's 1533-position model. The record is from RNAcentral.
UGAGUAUAGUGGCGCACGGGUGAGUAAUACAUGGGAACGUAUCUUUUGGUUGGGAAUAACCACGGGAAACUGUGGCUAAUACCGAAUAAUCUCGAGAGAGUAAAGGAGGCCUCUAUUUAUAAGCUUUCGCCAAUAGAGCGGCCCAUGUCCCAUUAGCUAGUUGGUAAGGUAAUGGCUUACCAAGGCUACGAUGGGUAGCUGGUCUGAGAGGAUGAUCAGCCACACUGGAACUGAGACACGGUCCAGACUCC